GAUGCCUACGGGACGCAGCAGUAGGGAAUCUUCCACAAUGGGCGAAAGCCUGAUGGAGCAACGCCGCGUGGGUGAAGAAGGUCUUCGGAUCGUAAAACCCUGUUGUUAGAGAAGAAAGUGCGUGGGAGUAACUGUUCACGUUUCGACGGUAUCUAACCAGAAAGCCACGGCUAACUACGUGCCAGCAGCCGCGGUAAUACGUAGGUGGCAAGCGUUAUCCGGAUUUAUUGGGCGUAAAGGGAACGCAGGCGCACUGUUAAGUCUG
RNAcentral lists this ribosomal RNA (265 nucleotides) under uncultured bacterium. RNAcentral describes it as "partial 16S ribosomal RNA". It matches the Rfam family "Bacterial small subunit ribosomal RNA", at positions 334 to 591 of the family's 1533-position model. The record is from RNAcentral.